AACGAACGCUGGCGGCAUGCCUAACACAUGCAAGUCGAACGAAACCUUCGGGUCUAGUGGCGCACGGGUGCGUAACGCGUGGGAACCUGCCCUUAGGUUCGGAAUAACUCCCCGAAAGGGGUGCUAAUACCGGAUAAUGUCUUCGGACCAAAGAUUUAUCGCCUUUGGAUGGGCCCGCGUUGGAUUCGCUAGUUGGUAGGGUAAAAGCCUACCAAGGCGACGAUCCAUAGCUGGUCUGAGAGGAUGAUCAGCCACACUGGGACUGAGACACGGCCCAGAAUCCUACGGGAGGCAGCAGUGGGGAAUAUUGGACAAUGGGCGGAAGCCUGAUCCAGCAAUGCCGCGUGAGUGAUGAAGGCCUUAGGGUUGUAAAGCUCUUUUACCCGGGAUGAUAAUGACAGUACCGGGAGAAUAAGCACCGGCUAACUCCGUG
RNAcentral lists this ribosomal RNA (433 nucleotides) under uncultured bacterium. Its description in RNAcentral is "partial 16S ribosomal RNA". It matches the Rfam family "Bacterial small subunit ribosomal RNA", at positions 29 to 507 of the family's 1533-position model. The record is from RNAcentral.